CUUGGUUCAAUUAGAGGAAGUAAAAGUUGUAACAAGGUUUCCGUAGGUGAACCUGCGGAAGGAUCAUUACCAGAUUCCAAACCAAAAGUCAGUGGAGAGAGAGGCGGUCAUAACGGUGGAAGACGUCGUCACAUUGGCGGGUUCCAUAACCGGCACAAGAUGUUGGAAGGGCCCAGGGCGGGCCGGCCGGGUCAACCUCAUCCGUGUAAUCCUGCUGCCCACUGCGCUCCCUCCCUACGCUUUAGGGCAGCAACCCCCCGCAUUGGGGGGUGGAGGCCGGAUCUAUGCAAUCAAUGCUUCGCAUCCAUCCACACAGUUGGGUGCCGGUGCGGAGUAGACUAUUGCGGCUAAAGGAGGUUCACCCGGAUGGUGGCUGACUGCGCAUGCAGGACCAUCAUGGAUGGAUCCAACCAUGCGUUCCUUCCCCUGGGGCCUGAGGGGUGUAAAAACCCCUCAGCGACCUGCUCCGACGGCGUGAAGAGGACCCCCACCGUUUGGCACCCUCUCGCCAUUGUCCCAACCAAAACCCUCUGUGUACCCUUCCCUGUUGCUUCCCCCGGGCAACUGGCUCCGGCCAGCCGGGGGGAGAAACCUAGCAAAAACCCUUUUCGCAAAAACAGAGGUCUGAAUGUAGAAAACAAACAAAAAAAAAAAAGUUAAAACUUUCAACAACGGAUCUCUUGGUUCCCACAUCGAUGAUGUGAUUGCAGAUUCAGUGAAUCAUCGAAUCUUUGAACGCACCUUGCGCUCCUUGGUAUUCCGAGGAGCAUGCCUGUUUGAGUGUCAUUAAAUUCUCAACUCCUCCAGCUGUUGCAGCUGGGCUGGGGCUUGGAUUGUGGAGGGAUUGCUGGUGGAUUAUCAGCUCCUCUGAAAAGCAUUAGUGGAACUGGUUUGCGAUCCAUCACGGGUGUGAUAAUUAUCUAUGCCUGUGGGUUGCUCUCUGUGUGUUCUGCUGCCAACAUUGUCUUGGACAAAAUUUUUUGACGAUUUGACCUCAAAUCAGGUAGGACUACCCGCUGAACUUAAGCAUAUCAAUAAGCGGAGGAA
This 1047-nucleotide ribosomal RNA is filed under the name Morchella esculenta. Its description in RNAcentral is "eukaryotic LSU rRNA". The stretch from base 661 to 786 matches the Rfam family "5.8S ribosomal RNA". Lineage: Eukaryota; Fungi; Ascomycota; Pezizomycetes; Pezizales; Morchellaceae. The record is from RNAcentral.